Molecule: long non-coding RNA, 1030 nt
Organism: Vespula vulgaris
Lineage: Eukaryota; Metazoa; Arthropoda; Insecta; Hymenoptera; Vespidae
Exons: 3
Source: RefSeq, a predicted model, not a curated record
AGAGCCACAGGGUAAUUCAACACCGGAAGCGUCUUGAACAUGACGCCACCCUGAAGGUGCAGAAUACGCGGCGAGGAUAGAUCACGGAGCUCGUGAAUGAAAGAAGGCUGACCUAUGAUAAGAAAUAUCGUUGAUCGGUUUACCGUCAUCGUCAGAGACUAAUAAUAACGCAACGUAUACGAUUCUAUCCCUAAGUCGAUGUCGACCAAAAGUGGGAAAAGCCGAAGAACGCGAAGACACCGAACGGAUGGUAGACGGGCGGGGCAAUGGCAAUGGUGGCAAACUCGCGGAGGCACGAAGGAAGAUGAGGUCGGAGGUAAUCUGACACCUGGCCGCAUCGAAGGCUGGUGCUGUGAGAAAAUGAGUACUCUCGUCGCACCGAGAGUAGAAGAAUGAAAAAGGACAAAGAAAAGAAUAAAGAAAUAAAAAAAUAAAAAUAAAAGCAAAAAAGAACGAAGAACGCACUGAUGAACAAGGAGGACAACUAGACAUCGAUCGAGAGAAAACGUCGUUAGUUCUUUGACUAUCGAUAUAGAAAAAGUAGUAAGAAGAAGAUACUGGAGAGUUUGUCUCUCGAAAUUGCACGUUCGAGCGCAACGAGUGCGACGGUGGUCAUGGUACUCUGCACAGUACCAUUCCUUCGUGGUAACUGGAGAACGCGAAGUGAGUAUCGGUUACGAGGAAAACUUCCGUGCACGCAUUAACGACGCCAUACGUCCUCGCCAUCCGACGUACGAGGGUCGCGGCGCGAACAGGUACACGACAGGUUCGAGGAAAGAUCUGGGUCAACCUAUUUCAACCCUUUUUGUCAUCUUUCUUCCGCGAGAUGACAAAAAAGAAAGAGAAAAAGAGAGAGGAAGAGAAAGAGAGAGACGAAAGAAAGAUGAGAUAAAUAGACCAACAUUCCUCUCUCUGACUCUAACUUUAAUGUUGCAUCUUAAUGUAACGUUGUGUUUUACCUAUAUCUUGAAUCCUUUGACACAAGUUUUACUAAACUUUUACGAGCUGAGACCCACUUUCGAAAACAAUC